CACGAAUGUCAUGACAUCCUUCAGGGAGUGGUCUAGGCUACAUUGUUCUCUGGGGGAAGAAUUUUGAAAACAAGAUCGAUUUCUACUUCAGUUAUCUGUUAUUGCAUAAUAAAGCCACAAAAAUCCAGUGACUUAGAGCUAGCUUGUUGGGUCCCUGCAGGGCUGCAUUCUCCUGGAGGAGGCCUUGCUCCAAGUCUGCUCGUGCUGGUGAAGCCCUGAACACUCUCUCCAAGUGACGCAGGGUGGAGGGUGUCAGGAUGCCGGGGCCCAGGAUCACACACCGUCAUCAAAAGACCAACAGGAACAAAGCAGCAGGAGGAAAAGCUCAUUUGGCUCACAGGUUUCAGUCCAGAAUCGGCCAACGCCAUCGCUCUGGGCCUGCAGUGAGGCCGGUGUCAUGGUGGAAGGGUGUGGACGAGCGGAGCUGCUCGAGACAUGACGGCCAGGAAGCAGAGAGCUCAGCUCACCAGGGACAAGAGAGAGACCCCAAAGUCGCGUCCAGGGACCCCCUCCUCCAGCCAUGCCCCACUGGCCUACAGUUACUACUCAGUUAACCCCUUCAAGUGGAUUGAUGCACUGACUAGGUUAAGGAUCUCGUGACCCCAUCACUCCACCGCUGAACAUCGUCUCACAGAGGAGGUUUGGGGGCACCUCUUCUAAACCACGACAAGUGAUAAACUACUUUCAAACCCUGCCUGCAAGUUUUGCUUCAUUUUAAGUAAAAAAUAUGGGCACUGUGGUCCAGCAACUCUGUUUUGAAUAUUUACCCACAAGAAAUGAAAAGAUACGUAAAGACAAUAAUUUGCACUUCUUAACCUUAUUUAUAAUAGUCAGAGACUGGAAAGAAUUCAGAAGAAUACCAAGGGGAAAUGGACAUCCGGGGCAUGUUCAUACUCAGGGAACCAUUCAGUCGAAGUGAAGAAACGGCUGUGAGACCUGCAAAGCCCUGGAUAGAGCUCAAGAGUAUGUUGAGCCAACACAACUCGCCAGAAAGUGUGUGUGCUCUGCACUGACAGGAAAUCUAGGCCGGGACUGUCAGGCUGCAGCUCAGGAGGCAGGCAAGGCCCCAAGAGGUGGAAAUGAGGGGUUUCAGGUAUAUUGGAGAGAUUCUGUGUUUUGUUGGAGAUGCUGGUUUUCCCCUUACCUAAUUCUCCACCUAAGACUGAUGCCUUUCAGAGUGAAUGAAUGCGGCUUCAACUGAGACCCUGUGAGCUGGGCACCCUGACCCUGGGCUUGGCGUCCUGAUCUCAAGUCUCCCCAGCUCAUAGCGCCCCCCGCUGGCUCCUCAGGGAGACCAAUGCUGUGUGAGGGUCCAGGUGACAGGGUCCAGUGGGGCACAAGUUCUCCCUCUCAAGGUGUCUGCUGCACCUUUCCAGAGCCAGACGGUCGGUCUCCACCGGCAACAGCAAUCCACAGUGCAGGGGUGUAUUCUACUGCCUGUGGAGCAGAGGGCCCGGCUUUCGAAUUGGGAGAGCCUACCUCCUGCACUAGCUGGUUGAUGUUGCAGAAGACACGUCGACACUCCAAGGUAGGAUGGAGCACGGCCUUACAGCUCUGUUAGGCACGGAGCACAACUUGCACAGCACAGCUCUGGUCCCCAGCGUCUGAAGGGCUGAGGAUCCUACAGGACAGUUUGCCAGUCCCAGACAGUAGAUGAUGUAGUAGCAGCAUUUACCAGGAGCAACAGGAGACCUGCAAAGCCAGGAGGAUGUCCCUUUGGCCACGACUCUGCAGGCUGAACAAAAGCAGAGCCAGCUGCUGAUGCAGAACCCACCAGUCCUGUUCAGUUCUCCUCUGCUUCUCAGAAUCUCCUGCUGAGGCAGGCCUCCCGGCUCUCCCAGGCUCUGCCACACACUUCCCAGUGCAUCUGGUGCUUCUGCUCAGCAUGUCUCCAGAGCGAUGGCACAGCUAAGUUUAUCAAACACACUGUUCCCAAUUGCUUGGAAUUCGUACUGCAGCAAAUUCUAACACUCACGGAGAAAGAAAGCCACGGAUUCCAAGUGAUUUUUUUAUUUUUUGGAAGAUGUUUAAAACAACAUUAGCAGAAACAAUGAUAUUAGCAACACAUGAGAAAGCAAAUUGAAGUGCUCACAGAAGACAAUGGGGUGAUUAGCCUCUCUCUGGGUGUCAGUGUGCUGGCGAAGGAACAGAGAAUGCAGCCAGAUGGACUCACUGAGAGCAAAACUGUAGGCUCAUCCAGCAAGAGUGCAGAGCCAGCACCACACAGACCUGUGCUGGGGCUCAGCCGGCUCUGUGGUGUUCAUCUGACAGCCCUCUAUGCCAAGUCCAGCCGUGUGGAUGGAGCACACGGGCACCAUUGCUGUGGGGAGGCCUGAUUCCACCGUAGGCUCCUGACUCGGCCUCCCACUGUCCCAGCUCUGCACUCCACAGGGCUCAGAGAUCUCGAUCCACUCCCUUCUCACACCUGCCAGAUUAUCUAGGUAGUCAGGAGGGAGAGAAACAAGAGGGAAGAGCUGAGAAAUAAAACCUAGGCUCACAUUAUUGAACAUAAUCUACUGAGAAGAUUUUCUCAGAAAAACAACAAUGAAAAUUUUUAUCCAUAGAAAAUAUCCAGAAAUGCAGUCAGAAUUUUCAGAUUUACAAUUUCUCCAUUUAGGGGAUGGUGUGUAGUCCUGCUCUUUCUUACUCCCCUCUCUGGGCCAUACCCUACCUUGGAGCCUCAAGACUGUGUACCUGGACUCCAGCUCGUCCACCCACCAACCUUGGGCACAACCACACCGGCACAUUGCCCAGAAUCCACUGCCCACACAUGCAGGGUCAAGGCCUGGGGUCUCACAGAGUGCCUGUCUCCUUCAGGACCCACCCUUCACUUUUCUCUCUGGUGCUGCUGACUCUUCACUCUCCCACCACCACUUCACUGUCACCAACGUUUGCUUCCCCAGCACAUGGGAAGGUUCUGGCAACCAGGAACCAAGAUUUGUUAUGAUCUUCUGAAGGCCUGGCAUAGUGUUUUCUGUAUCUUACUUGAGGAGUUAAAAAAAAAAAAUCUUAACUAUUAAUUACUACUUUGCAAACAAAGGAACAUUGUUUACCUCUUAGAUUUUCUGACUAUGCAUCUAUAAAAAUGGGAGUAUCAAUACCAACUCAGAUGACCUGCGGUGAGGACCGACUGUGACCAUAUGUGCCAAAUAUUUAGGGGGCACUUGACCCAGUGUGCUCAGAAAGUGGCAUUCUGCAGCAGGCCUGCCCUGAGUGGUGAGGUGCAAUGAGGACCUCUCCAGGUAGGCUGCACAGACCAUGCCUUCCCCCUGGCCUGUGGUUCAUGCACAGCGGCCCUCUGUGACAGCUUCUGGAUGCUGGGACAGCUCCCACCAGCAGAGGACAGUUCUACAGAGAUUCACUUUUCUCUUGCACAACUUGCAAGAGUCUAGGAUUACCCGAUGGCCCCUCUGGGAUUUACUGGGACAAUGAACUUUCCCAGAGACAUCAAAUAGCAUCUGGAUAAUUUUAGGAAAAUGUUUGAUGGGAAAAUUUGGGUUUGUUCUCGUGAAAAGCAUGUUGGGCUUCCGGGUUCUCAGAAUCGCCAUAGAAUGCCCUUCUUUUCUCCAGCUGUAUUACCCAGGGCCUGGAUGCCUUGCCAGUGUAGAUCAAUUUAUCAUGGAUGUGGACUGUGGUACAUGAAGUCCACUGUGGACGUGGACCCUGGCACACAGAGCCAAUCAUUCUGCGUCCAACUUUACUAAAGCGUGUUCAAGUCACCUACUCAGGCCUCUGGUUGUGGGAUUAUGUAGAGUGGAUUGGAGGUCCUUUUACACACUGCCUUUUGUUUUUUGUGUACACAGACAGAAAUCCCAUUCAUUUAUUGAUCUUGCCCUCAGGUCUGGCACAGCACUGGCCCCGGGUGGGUGGCCCUUGAGUGGUUGCGUUUCCGUCAUUUGAUGCAGGUCCUGCUUCCCUCCUUCACCGCUCGCCCCAUGAACUGGAGCUCAUCAAACAGUCUCCAUGGAACAACCUUGCUUCUGCUUCACCGUGGAGACCCUGGAC
This 4005-nucleotide long non-coding RNA is filed under the name Marmota monax (woodchuck). The record is from RNAcentral. Lineage: Eukaryota; Metazoa; Chordata; Mammalia; Rodentia; Sciuridae.